RNAcentral lists this non-coding RNA (30 nucleotides) under Mus musculus (house mouse). The record is from RNAcentral. Lineage: Eukaryota; Metazoa; Chordata; Mammalia; Rodentia; Muridae.
UACAGAAGUAUCUGGCACACCCAGAAAUGC